Molecule: non-coding RNA, 8619 nt
Organism: Triticum urartu
Lineage: Eukaryota; Viridiplantae; Streptophyta; Magnoliopsida; Poales; Poaceae
Source: RefSeq, a predicted model, not a curated record
AGCGCUCCCAACCGUCUACCUACCCCACCACGGCACCAUCUCGUCCGUCAUGCUAGCGUGCGUGCGUGCGUGCCAUCUUUGUCACCGCGCCCGCCGCUUGCCCCCCGUACGUGCGGCGCGCGAAUCUGAGCCCCCGUCAUCCACACGCCGCGGCGGUUAGGAUCCGGUUCCCGAUCGGCACCGACACGGGGAGAUCCGCCCAGAAAAUGACCCGGAAAAGUUCCAAAGCUGGCGCGCGGCGAGGAGAUGGAUGGGAUGGGGAAAUGAAGAGGGAGCGGCCGAGAAGGAGACGGCCGCGCCGCCGCCGCCGCGAGGCCAUGGCUGCGGAGCGGUGGCGGCUCCGGCUCCGGCUCCAGGCGGCCCGGCGCACCCGGAUCCCGCGCGAGGUGGAGAGAACAUACAGGGUGCCGCUCGAGGGGGCGUGCACGCAUCGGCGUCCCCAGGAGCGUGGCAUGAGCAUGUUGGAGGGUGCUCAGCCUCGGUACAAUCGUUCUAGACUACAGGGAUAAUCAGUGCUAAUCCUUGAGCUCCAGCUUCACUACUCACUACAGGGAUAAUUCACACAAUGCUUUCCCUGCAGGCGCAAGAAAUGGAUAAAUGUGAUGAAGCCCUUGGACUGCUGAAUUUGCACUGGAGUCUGUCCUAAACUAUUCAGGAGCUUACCAACAACUGUCAUGCAUUCUUGGUCAUGAAUGCAGCCAGGCAGAUUUAACAGCCUCCAAUCUAGGGAAAAUAACAAUAGACAGACACAGAUACAACACUUCUGCCUGUGCAGGGGGUUAACUGUCCUACGGGCAAGAAGCAUCAACCAGAAGCCCAAGCAUAAAAAAGGUAAACUAGAAUAUUGUUAGAGAAAUUCCAUCCGGUACCACUAAUACCGCCACUAACUUCGUCCCUUUCUGGGAAUUUUUGGUUUACUGGCCUUCAAACACGCUUCGGCUGACAAACAGCUUCAUCCUGCCCCCUGCCCUAAGUUGCCAUUUUUUGCAGCCUACUUCUAUCCCUGCCAAAUAUUGUAGGAGCUGAAUUACUUUGGAAUCUAGAUAUACAUCUAAUCGAUUGCGCAGUUUCUUCCCAUCAAAUGGUGAGUGCUUGCGAAUAGGUAAUGUGUAUUAUGUUAUCCCCUAGGAGGCUAGUACUAGGAUUUUCAAAUGACCCCAACUUGUGUGCAAGGUCUGUAAUAUGUAUAGCCCAGAGACAAAUUUACGGUACUGUCCAAGUGUUAUUUCAAAAGGUUGGAAUUGGAUUAGUUAUACAUGACAAAUAACUGGAACACACUGUUGCUCUCACAUCAUGCUAAAUAGUAGCGCUACUGCUAAAUAGCUAUACACAUUAAUGAUAUAAUAACUCAUCAUGAUCAUAAUAACAACUCAUCAUCAUAAUAAUAAUAAUAACAACUCCUCCUCCUCCUCCUCCUCCUCCUCAUAGUCAUAUAAGAACUCAUCAUCAUCAUCAUCUAUGAGUCAUAUAACAACUUCAUUCUAAGUUUCUAGCACAUUCUAGCACAUAACUCAUCAUCAUCAUAAUAAUAACAACUCCUCAUCCUCAUAGUCAUAACCAACACUAGCUAAUUGUUCAUAUCACAUGAUGAGUACUACCGAGGACCUACACCUCUCUCUUUGCUAAAAUAGCAUAAAACAGGUAAACCGGUCCAUCUCCAUAAUGGAGAAUGGAGAUCCACCUGUCUCCAACUUGUGGCUUGCGCACAUUCAUGUUGUCUCCAAUUGGUUGCUUGCGCGCAUUCAUUACUUUCCUCCAUUCUUUGAUAUUGAGUCUUUCAUCUUUUAAAGAAAUCGAGUAUGCCAUGUGGUAAGCUGUCGGCGGAGUUGGUCGUAAGCUAAACAUAUGCAUAUGACCUUCGGUAAGCAUCAUGUCAGGCACAACCUCCUUCGGGAGUUUCUAUUGAAGAACAUAAUAGUAACAUAUAGUUAGCAAUGUAGUUUACUUAAGAAGAAUGUAUGCAACCAUAGUUUACCAUGUUUUUUGCAAUGAAGUUACCAUCAUGCAACUCGUGGACUAGUGGCACGUAUCCACUAAAAUUUGGGUUAAUUAGAUAAUUGGUCUUAUAAGUCUCAACAUCGUUUAUAAAUGAGACAAGAGAUCCUUUCUCCUAACAAUUUAGCUCGGAGCCAUAGCUAUAGUACGUCUUGUCUACAACCUUCCGAGUAUUUCUUGAAGAUAAGAAAUAAGAUGACAAUAUAAAUAAACAAGUUUAGUAGGGAUGAACACCAAAUAUUUUUAAAUAAAUAAUAUUAAUUACUUAACAAAUUUCUUUGACAAACUCACAUAGAGGCGGAACUGGAGGCAUAUUCACAUCCACCCAAAUGUCGAUAUUAUUUUCAAUAUCAUCUUCAGGACGAAUAUCGAAGGUUAUUUGCAUAUUCUCCUCAAAUCCAUAGGCCUUGCAGAGAGCUCCCCAAUUAGAGCAACCAAAAUAUGAGUGAUUAAGUGCAUUGUAGAGUUUAACCCGAAAAGCAUAAUCAUGUUUAGUCCUGAGGUGAGCUCUCCUCGUCUCCAUAUUCUCACUCUCUUGGAAACCGAGCUUCUCCAAGACAAAUAGUCUUGCAUGGCAGGGGAUGCACUAGUUGAAUUGAAAAAACGGAAAUUACACGUUGAAGCAAAGAAGUACAAGUCAUGCUUAAUUCCACAUUCAUUCAAAGAAGCACAAGUCAAUACCUACCGUAAAAACAUUGAAGGUCUCGUCCAGCUUGAUGGUGAAAUACCUACCGUUUUCCAGAUGAUACAUGUCGCACAUACCCCGGUUGUCGCCGCAGUAAUCACACUCAGGUAUCCUACCAUCGUCAGACAUUUCCUGUGUUCAUAAUUCAAAGAUUAUAAAUCGAUGGCAAUUACCAAAAACUCAGGAAAUGAUCUGUGUGUUGAGUUCCUGGUAAUUGCCGUUGAUUUUUAAUCUUUAAAUUAUGAACACAGGAAAUGUCUGACGGCGAUAGGAUAUCUGAGUGCGAUUACUGCACCGAUGACGGGGGUAUGUGCGGCAGGCCUCAUCUAGAUAACGAUAGGUGCUUCACCCUCACGCUGAAGGAGACCUUCGAACAUUUUACGGUAUGCAAUGACGGAAAGUAUUUUUUCAUAAUUAAACAUGACUAGUGCUUUUUGCUUUAACGUGUAAUUUUCGUUUUGUACAAUUCGACUAGUGCAUCCCCUGUUAUGCAAGAUUGUAUGUCUUAGAGAAGCUUGGUUUCGAAGAUAGGGAGAGUAUGGAGACGAAUAAAGCUCACCUAAAGAUGAAACAUGGUUUCGUUUUUGCGGUUAAGCUCUACAAUGCAGUAAAUCACUCAAAUUUUGGUUGUCGAAAUUGGAGAGGACUAUGCAAGGCCUAUGGAUUUCAGGAGGAUAUGAAAAUAACCUUCGAUAUUGGUCCUCAAGAUGAUCCUAAAGAUAAUAUCGACAUUUCGGUGGAUGUGGACAUGAUUCCAGUUCUACCUCUAUGUGAGUUUGUCAAACAAAUAUGUAACUAAUUUAUAUUGUUUAUUUAAAAAUAGUUGGUAUUCAUCCCUACUAAACUUGUUUAUUUAUAAUUUGAUAGCUUAUUUCUUUUCUCCAAGAAAUACACGAAAGAAAGGUUGUAGACAAGUCAUACUACAUUUAUGGCUCGGAGCUAACUUGGAAGGAGAAAAAUUCCGUUGUCUCAUUUAUUAAUGAUGUUGAGACUUUUAAGACCAAAUAUGAAAUUAGCCAAAAUUGUAGUGGAUAUGUGCCGCUAGUCCACGAGUUGAGUGAUGGUAGCAUCAGUGCAAAUAGCAUGGUAAGAUUUUAUUGACUAUCGUUGGAUACAUUCUUCUUAAGUAAACUACAUUGCUAACUAUGUUACUAUUAUGUUCUUCAACAAAAACUCCCGAAGGAGGUUGUGCCUGACCUGAUGUAUACCGAAGGUCAGAUGAGUAUGUUUAGCUUAUGGACAAAUUAGCCGGUGGCUUUCCACAGUGCAUACUCGAUUUCUCUAAAAGAUGAAAGCCUCAAAAUCAAAGGAAGAAUGCGCACAGGCAACCAAUUGGAGAACAUGAAUGUGCGCAAGCCACAAGUUGGAGACUGGCGGAUCUCUAUUGUCCAUUUUGGACAUGGAGGGGUUUACCUGUUUUAUGAUAUUUUACCUAGGAGAGAGGAGUAGGUCCUACGUAGUACUUGUCAUGUGCUAGAAUGAUGAUGAGUUAUUUACCUAGGAUGACUACCCUUAGCUAGGUUGGUUAACUUGUCAUGUGCUAUAUUGAUGGUGAGUUAUUAUAUGACUACGCAUGAUGAUUGAGUUGUUAUAUGACUACGAUGAUGAUGACGAGGCCGUACUACUUGUAAUGUGCUAGAAUGAUGAUGAGUUAUUAUAUAUAUGACUACGGAUGAUGAGUUGUUAUAUCAUUGGGGUGUAAGAAACAUGGAUCCAUCCACUUUAAUCUAAUCCGUGUUUCCUCCACAAUCUCUUCAUUGCUACGGUAUAAAAAUUGUAUAACUGUGUAUAAAUAAAAGUAUAAAUAUAAAGAAAUGAAUACUCACUAAUAAUAGUGGCGUGGGGCAAAAACAGGCGUUACUGCUAUUUAGCAGUAGCGUUAGCAAUAGCGCGGGUCCAAUCCCACGCAGCAGUAGCAUGGGGUCAGACCCGCGCUACUGUAGAUGGAACUGGUGCCAUGGGUCUUGGAGGGCGCGCGAGCGCGACUUCGGUGGUUCUUGCUCGCGCGGCAGGAUGGCGUGGACGCGGUAGAUUGGGCGCGACAGGUGUUGUGCGGGCGCGCAGGAUGGCUAGGCCGUCGCAGAUCUGGCGCGAGGGCUGUUUCGCGGGCGGGGGUGUGCUGUGGCUCGGGCGUGGCCGGGCAGGGUGCCUCUACGGAGCGCAGGAGGUCAGGGGCGUGGUUCAUCUGCGGGUGAGCCGCAAGGUGGUGCGGGGCAAUGCAGGAGGCAUGGCGCGUGGUGGAGAGGCUCGGGCGUGCGGCGCUCGGGCGGCGGCUUAGCCGUGAGGGGGCGCGGCUGGUGCGUGCCUACGUGAUUUGAUGCUGCGAGUAAGCCUUGGUGAUGGUGGGUCGGGAGCCUGGGUUGGCGAGGAAGAGCACCUUUGGUUGCGAGUGAUGUAGAUUCGGUCUCCGAUGGCUGCGGUGGCGUGCAUGGGGCGCGUCGGUGGUUCUGUUGCUUGGCUAUGGCUCGGAACCAUGGUGGCUCUUGGCUUCGGGCAGCGCUCCUCUAUUCCCGUGCUGCGUCCGAAAGACCGUUGAUGGAUCUAGGGACUCGUUCUGGAGGUUGGCCGUCGGUGGUCUCCGCGAGGUGCGGCUGGCUACGGCGGAUCUCAGAGCUUCUUUGUUGAUGGGCAGCUCUGAUUGUGGUGGUGUUUGGUGGGCUUCCCGGCGCUGGUGCAGGAUGAUGUACGACUGAGGUGGUGUGGGAGAUUGGUUGAACGCCCUAUCUUGGCUUUGUGCUGUGACCAGCGAUGGUGGCGGCUGCGGCCGUCGUUGACCUUCUUGGAGGCAUCAUUGCUUUGCUGCCGCACCUCUCCCGCGUGGAUCCGGCCAUCUCGGCCUCUCUGGGGGAAACCUUUGAUCUGUUAUCGGACGAUGGCGGCGCCUUGGUGUCGUAUUCCCUCUCGGGGGCUUCGUCUUGGGAGCUCAAUAUCGGCAAGCGAGACCGGUGGAUGGCGGCGGUUGUGGCGACCAGGUUUUUGUGGCAACGAUGAUGAUAGGUCCAAUGUCGGCAACGCGGCAAUGGUUGAGGUAGUCGGCUCUUCUCCGGCAUGUCCACGGGUUUUGCCUCGGUUUGUUUGUUGCUGUGAAGUCGAAGCUGCUGCGGCAGGCCCUGUGGUAUACGAUGACUGGCUGCAGGUGAACCGUUCGGCGAUCUUCCGUGGUGCCAGCCAUGCCUGGUUUUGUCCUUCGUAGUUCUCCGUCAAAGUCGGAGCUGUGCUAUCUGGUCGCAGGUGGCUGAGUUCUGGCGUGGAUCUUCAUGCAUCUUCACGGGGAUUCUGCAGUAUGUGUCGAGUCGACGAUCGCCUAUGGCGAAGUCAGAGUCCUUUGCUCAGGAUUUAGGGAUGGCGAUGUCACCUCUACGGGAGGAGUGAUGACGAUGACGCCUAUGUGCUGUCUCGACGAGGCCAUCACUGGAGUGGUGUGCAUGGGGUAUCUUGUGUGUGCCGCUCAAUGGUUGUGAUAGUUUUCGCCCGGUAUGAUCAACUGGGCAAUCUGGUUUUCACUCGGUUUUCCCUAAUUAACUAAGCAACUAUUUUCUUCUUAACGAAUGCAGGAUAACUGCCAUUUCAAAAAAAAAUGAAGGCCACAUAACAUGGCCGGGAACAAAAUAUUUUUGUCAGAAUCAGAAACACACUGCCUCCUUGCCUCAAUCCUCGUUUGUGUUCUCCAGUGUGUAACCUACAAACUGUGCUUUUAUCACAACAGUCAAAUGUAAAAUUCCACAUGAACUUUGUACUUAUUUGAACCAGAUAAUUUGCCUUGUUGAAAGUGUAUAUUAGGGUUUGAUAAAUUCAUCCGUUCUCAUGACUGCAAACUGUCGAGCACCAUAUAGGGAGGAUAAAUCAUCAACAGUUGAUGUUUUAGACUUGUAGCUGCAAGAGCAAGCACGGACAAUCUUCAGGCAUCCCAAUGUUGGGUGUGUGCUUUCCUGUUGCUAACUUGGCUCUGUUGUUUGUUAAGCCCAAGACGGCAUUCCGCAUGUCAGCUACUGAAGCACGGACAAUCUUCAGGCAUCCCAAUGUUGGGUGUGUGCUUUCCUGUUGCUAACUUGGCUCUGCUGCUGGUGAAGCCCAAGGCGGCAUUCCGCAUGUCAGCUACUGAUAAUAGCCUGUUGCUGCAAGUGUUUGGUUGUUUUGUAGUAUUUUGCUGGCAUUGGGUCUCUGUACUUUCUCCGUUUCCUUGCAUGAAAUUGGGGGUUGUCUACCGCCUGAACCACAGUACUCAAAACAGUAGCUCUACUUAGCUAGCACAUUUGAUGAUUCUAUGCUGCGCUGUGUGUUUACUUAUUUCUUCACUGCAAUUAACUAUCAUGUGUUUGAGAAUCUACCUCAUUAACCGAAUUUGGUUUAUGCAGACUCCCUGACGGUGACACGGGAGAUUUAGUCGACCAUUUUUGUUCUAGGCUUGCAUUGUGUGAUUUUUCGGAAGCAUAUGCUCAAGCUGCAACAGUAUUGUGACUGCAGAAUUCAGCUAAAUUUCCGUUUUUUAUAGAGUACCGACCAGUCAAAUAUCAGUCCUGUUCACAUCACCUUGAUGCAAGCACAUCAUUGGAUCUCAGGUUUGCAUUGGUAAAAUUUGUAAGUUGUAGUCCUAGUAUGCAAGGCUGUUAGGUGCAUGGGUGUCAGGGGUGCACUGUCAAGUUCUUUUAUAUCUGAAAGGGACCACUGAGCAAACGGUACUACCAUCUUUACACAUUACUACUGUGCAGUAACUUGCACCACUAGAUGCAAAACCCACCACAGGAUAGGAUAUAUCUCACAUAAAUCCAACGGUUAUGCUUCCCCUCUGCCUCUCCUAUACCCUUCCAUGGCGUUGGUCGGUGGCAUCCAUUUCCGAAAACAAAGCUAUGUCCAACCGUUGCUUCUGUGCUUCAGUAUGCAGGUGUUUCAGGAGAACAUAAACACGCAGCGCAGGAAUCAAGGCACACAACACGGUGAUCAGGGAUCACAAUGAGAUGAAAUACUUUUGUCACAACUGUCAAAUGUAAAAUUCCACAUGGACUUUAUUCUUUUUCGAAUCAGUGUCAGUUGCAUUUGUCGUAUGAAGUAUAUGUUACGGUCUGAUAAAUUUAUCCGUUCUCAUGACUGUAAACUGUCGGGCACCAUGUUAGGAGGGUAAAUCACGAACAGUUGAUGUUUUACACCUAUAACUUCAAGAGCAAGCACAAGCAGUCUUCAGGCCAUCCCAAGAUUGGGUCUGCGCUUUUCUAUCGCUAACCUGGCUCUGUUGUUUGUUAAGUCCAGGACGACAUUUCACAUGUAUGCUACUGAUAAUAGCCUGUUGCUGCAAGUGUUUGGUUGUUUUCUACUCCCUCCUUUCCAUAAUUAUGGAACAGAGGGAGCAGUAUUUUGUUAGCAUUGGAUCUCUGCACUUUCUCAGUUUCCUUACAUGAAAUCAGCGGUCGUCUACCUUCUGAACUGAAAGACAAACAAUUUUACUUAGCCUAGCAUAUUUGAUGAUUUACUGUUUGUUUACUUAUUUCUUCACUGCAAUUAACAACUAUGCAUUUGAGCAUUUGAUUCGUUAACUGAAUCUGAUUUCACGCAGACUUCAUGACUUUGACUUGCGAGAUUUGGUCCAACAUUGUGUUACACGCUUACAUUGGUGCUUUUCUGGAGUAACGAUCAAGCUGCAACAGUUUUGUGACUGCAGAAUCCAGCAGGUGCGCAGGGUGUCUCGGGAGAAGAUAAAUGCGCCACACAGAAAUUAAGACACGAAGCACGUUGAUGAUCGGGGAUCACGAUCACGAUGAGAUGAAAUGCAGGAGCUAGGCAGCUUUGCUCAGAUUCUACUGUGAGCCAAGGUUCCAUUCGGUCAUUCCCAUGUACUUUGUUUACUUCAGUCCAACUUCGGACAAAACACAGGCAAGCUGUUUUUUACUACUCACAAACCGUCGGAUCACCAGCAGGUGACAGAUCUAUUUAUAUUUUGCUGAUAA